This 445-nucleotide ribosomal RNA is filed under the name uncultured bacterium. RNAcentral describes it as "partial 16S ribosomal RNA". It matches the Rfam family "Bacterial small subunit ribosomal RNA", at positions 354 to 796 of the family's 1533-position model. The record is from RNAcentral.
GUGAGGAAUAUUGGUCAAUGGGCGAGAGCCUGAACCAGCCAAGUAGCGUGCAGGAUGACGGCCCUAUGGGUUGUAAACUGCUUUUACACGGGGAUAAAGUGUGCGACGUGUCGUUCAUUGCAGGUACCGUGCGAAUAAGGACCGGCUAAUUCCGUGCCAGCAGCCGCGGUAUUACGGAAGGUCCGGGCGUUAUCCGGAUUUAUUGGGUUUAAAGGGAGCGUAGGCCGUCUGUUAAGCGUGUUGUGAAAUGUCGUGGCUCAACCAUGGACUUGCAGCGCGAACUGCCUGACUUGAGUGCGCAGAAAGCAGGCGGAAUUUGUGGUGUAGCGGUGAAAUGCUUAGAUAUCACGAAGAACCCCGAUUGCGAAGGCAGCCUGCUGUAGCGCUACUGACGCUGAAGCUCGAAAGUGCGGGUAUCGAACAGGAUUAGAUACCCCUGUAGUCC